GCAGCUCCUGAGGGAGACAGAGGAGCCCCCCCAACCAUGAAACCCCCCCCGGGGGUAGACAGCCUCUCCCUCUCAGAGGAGACCUUACUGCUGAACACCCUCCCUGCCUCCUCCUGCACGUCUCAACGUUUCCUCUAAAGCCCCGACCGGCUGUCUGGUAGAGGAACCACAACCUGGACCUGCAGUAGACAUUUAGCACCACCACCACCCCCCCCAGCUCCAACUACCGGCCUACCUGCUCCACCACCUCCAACACCUGGUCUACCGGAGGCAGGUGGAGGUCUUACCUUCCCGGGGCCGACCCUCUGAGCCAGGGCUCCUCCCACUUCCUGCUCGUUGCCGUAGGCAGCGGCGCAGUCGACAUGUCUGUAGCCGCAGUCCAACGCAGACAACACCGCCUGCUGCACCUGACACACGCACACACAUGGACGCACACAUGCACACACAAACACACACACACAAACA
Gadus morhua (Atlantic cod) is the source of this 465-nucleotide long non-coding RNA. RefSeq lists it as uncharacterized. Lineage: Eukaryota; Metazoa; Chordata; Actinopteri; Gadiformes; Gadidae. The transcript has 2 exons. The record is from RefSeq and is a predicted model, not a curated record.